This 492-nucleotide ribosomal RNA is filed under the name uncultured bacterium. RNAcentral's name for it is "partial 16S ribosomal RNA". It matches the Rfam family "Bacterial small subunit ribosomal RNA", at positions 29 to 507 of the family's 1533-position model. The record is from RNAcentral.
AGUGAACGCUGGCGGUAGGCCUAACACAUGCAAGUCGAACGGCAGCACAGUAAGAGCUUGCUCUUACGGGUGGCGAGUGGCGGACGGGUGAGGAAUACAUCGGAAUCUACUUUUUCGUGGGGGAUAACGUAGGGAAACUUACGCUAUUACCGCAUACGACCUACGGGUGAAAGCAGGGGAUCUUCGGACUUUGCGCGAUUGAAUGAGCCGAUGUCGGAUUAGCUAGUUGGGGGGGUAAAGGCCCACCAAGGCGACGAUCCGUAGCUGGUCUGAGAGGAUGAUCAGCCACACUGGAACUGAGACACGGUCCAGACUCCUACGGGAGGCAGCAGUGGGGAAUAUUGGACAAUGGGCGCAAGCCUGAUCCAGCCAUACCGCGUGGGUGAAGAAGGCCUUCGGGUUGUAAAGCCCUUUUGUUGGGAAAGAAAAGCAGCAGGUUAAUACCCCGCUGUUCUGACGGUACCCAAAGAAUAAGCACCGGCUAACUUCGUG